CAAUGAUUAAACUACUUCAGUGGCUGUCUUCUCAUGAAAUUGUUUGUCGCGUUAUCUGCGUUACUGAGUUGAGGCCGGGUUCUUUAUCAUUUCUUUUUCACUUCAGUUGUCUCUUCAAAAUGCUCUGGGUUCUUCAACUUGUUGCUUGGUAUUUGUUUUCCAACUGAUUUGUGUAUUCAAUGGCUUUUGUUUGUUGCGUUUUACUGUGUUUUGUAGGACCAAAUUCUCUUUUGAUUUUGCUUUAUCUAUUUUUUAGGUUUCGCUCCCAUUCAGGUGCGCUUUCACCCUGCUUUGAUCACCUCUUAGACCUGUUCCUUAUUUGUUUCUUUCAAUUUUAGAGCUGAUUCAAGUUUCUUUACUCUCCUUUCUGAAUCUGAACUUAAACUUUCUUGGGUGGUGUCUUUUACCCUGUUGUUAGAUGUUUUAGCCGGUUGAACCAGACCUUGGUAGUGUAUGGGAUUGUUUCCAGUUGCUAUAGGUUAAUAUAUGUGCCUUUUUUGUGCACAAUUCAUUUCACGAUUGGUUAUUGAUUUUGAAUUUCAUUUGGGCUCAUUUGGUCAUUGAUGAUUUUGCAGGAAAAUUUAUUCUGGUAGGGUUCAGAUAUCCAUUUUUUUAUGUCAUGGCAGAUGCUGAGUUUGAAAGACAGGUGAGAGUACUUAUAUCUGUAUAUAUUGAUGUAUGUUUACAAGUGAGCUAGAAGAAAUAUUAGAGAUGAUUGUUAUGGAUGAGCUUCAAAAGAUCACAGUCUCACAAUUUCAGCAAAUAAGAUGCUGCCUCAAUAGCUCCCAUUCUCAGGCCCUGUUAUGGAAUUACAAAUUUUGUGAUGAUAGAAGUCUGUUCUUCAGCAGCUUCUACUGAUGUUGUUGGCAAGAUAGGUCAGUUUGACUAUCAAGAUAGUAUUGCUUUGGGCGCUUGGCUGCUGAUUAAUUGGCUUUUCCAACUCUUCCAUUGUUUUGGAUUGGUCAAAUGGAUACGAAAGAUAGCCAAAGUGACCAUUUUCCUUGCGAAGAUUCUUUCCUUGCGUGCUAUUUUUCUUGCAAGGAUUGCAAGAAGAAACAAAUAAAAAUUGUAUUUUGCUACAGACCAGGUACAAAAUCUUGGUGAUUUCCAGUCUUUUUACAUAGCAUUGUAAGAAACAACUACUUUCUAGGUUAGUUUUAUCAUGUUCAUGACUGUACAUAAAAAGUGACGGGUUUAUUCUUUUUUAUUAUCCUAGCUAGGUUCUGGGUAGGGGUCAAAGCCAGUUUUGCAAGUGAUUCUGCAAUUUGCACUCAUCAUGUUUGAUAGAGAGACUAGGAUAGUGCUUUAGCCACCAUUUUUUUUUAUAGAUUCAGUGCUAAUAUUCCAUCCCAGUUGAAGAAGUUGAUUGGCACAAGGCAAAUUUAUCAGCUAAGAUUGAAAGAAGAGAACCUGAAGGAUGGCCGAGCUGGACUGUCAAAAAAACAUUUGACAUGAAUUCCAUCUUGGAAAGGAAAGAUGCUUGCUCGCAAGACCUGUUAGCAUGAAAUUAUCUUAUCUGUAUCUAAAUAAAUAGGCCAUGAUAAUUCUUGAAUCUCGAAAACGAAUAAUUUUAUUGUGACUGUUGUGAACACCAUAGUCAAUAAUGAUGUCAAUCUCGAAACUCUAUUUUAUUUUUUUA
Long non-coding RNA from Populus nigra (black poplar), 1639 nucleotides. RefSeq lists it as uncharacterized. The record is from RefSeq and is a predicted model, not a curated record. The transcript is spliced from 2 exons. Lineage: Eukaryota; Viridiplantae; Streptophyta; Magnoliopsida; Malpighiales; Salicaceae.